Molecule: long non-coding RNA, 3763 nt
Organism: Gallus gallus (chicken)
Lineage: Eukaryota; Metazoa; Chordata; Aves; Galliformes; Phasianidae
Source: Ensembl
GGCAGCACCGCACCGCACGGAGCCCCCUCCGCUCACAUCGCCUUCCAAUGGGAACAGGGAAUAAAUAGAAAGUUAUGCACGAAGAAAUCUUUAUGAAUAAAUCAUAAAAUCGAGUCCUGCUGCACUCCAGGAAGCCCCCAGAUGUGCUUCUGAAUGACCAAAGCCUGGGGAAGGACUCAUGCCCAUCCCAGAGGGCACUGGUAGCUUUUCCAUGCAGAUACUCAACAACGUGCUUUGACUUCUGGUUAGCCCUGCCAUGGUCAGGCAGUCGGAGUAGUUGUUUUUUGGAAGACCCUUCCAAAUCAACUCUUUCAUUCCAUUCUAUUCCACUCCAUCCCACUCCACUGAAAGCCAUGUGCAGGACAGACCCCAGCUUUGGAGCAGAAGUAUUCCCCUUGGAGCAGCACCAGGUCAACAUGAGCAGUACGGGGCUUUGGCUGUGUGGCUUCUGGGAGUGCAUGAGGUGGGGAUGUGAAAUAUGGACAGAGAGCACUCAUCGGCUCCUGAGACAAAAGAUGACUUGGAGAGACCCCAUGGUGCUGGGAAGUGAAGGGCUUUUCUUUUGUCUCCAAAAAAGUAAGGGGACAAUGCCAGUUAGGGCUCCAGAGAGGCAGCAAUGUACUUUGGCAGCCCCUUAGCCGCUCCGUUCAAGGGUUAGCCCAGCUUAAACGCUGUAAACUGCAAAGGAAACCCAGAAUGACAAACAAUUGUAGGAACCUGAAAGACCAAGUUCCUCUGGAUUUCAUGGGAAGUGUGGUUUUAAAUAUUCCAACCUGUCUGUCUGGGGGGAAGUGGGCAAUAAAUAGCAGCCCGGUUGUUAUCAAGAGGAUGUGAGCUAUUUAUAAAAAAUUCUUGGGCUUUUUGAACUCUGUUUAAAGAGGCAAUAUCCUUCACUUGGGUAAUUGGGGGACUGAAAUGCUAAAGCAAACAAGAUUACUCAACCACCUUGGGAAAGUUUAGUGCUUGCCUGUGCGCUUCCGAAAUUUCCAGCGUAUUUAAACAGCUGCUCCAUUAUUGUCCCCACAUCCAGAGGAGAGCAUGAAAAGCUCUUUCAGGCCUCCCCUCGCUCAGAGAUGCAGCCGUGUGCUGCUCCUCCACGCAUCCAACCGGCAACCCAAGCGAGCAGCUGAGAGCUGCGCUGCUUCCUUGAAUUAUAUCUCACUGAAGUGAAGUGAAAGGGGCUCCUCUGGGCCUUACAGCGCCUCCAGCUCCAACACAGCACAGGGACUGCUGCAGGGGUGAGGAAGAGCAGCCACUGCCCUCCUCCUCCUCCCGCUCUCCUCCUGCUGCUGCCCCACGUCAGGAUGCGGCCCGACCCACAGCCCUGAAUGCGCCCCAUUGACAGCUCAUUUUAUUUUUCUGAGCACGGCCGUAGGGCAGACAGCCCUGCUCCUGUGUGGGAACCACACACAAAGUGUGCUGACAAAAUGAUGGCAUCCUCUAAAAUACACAAACACGCUCAAAAGAAGGAAAACCAUGAAAUUGAGGAUAACAAACAACAAAGAGAAGCUCAUACACAAAAUCUGUUGGUGUUUAUGAGUCACUGAGGCCUUCCUGUCCCAUCUCAGAAGUUGUGGGAAUGCACUGCAGCCCAUCCUCUCCCUGCAAAGUACUGAGGUGCUGUUAGGUGCUGUUUCCCUCCCAGUGCUGGGCCGGGGGCAGCCCCUGCACAAACCAAUGGCUAUUUUUUCCUUGUUUUUCUCAUCCUUCGAAGUAGGAAAACAAACCUGAGGAGCAAAUGCUGCACUGUGUGUGAGCAGGGAGUGCAGCUCGGCGAUGGGAUUGUGCUGUGUUCCUGCAUGGCCAUCUGACACGGGGGGCUUUACAAUGGAAUGGAUGGGAAAUGCCAGGAGAAGCUGAAGUGCUCCAGACAUGAGGUCUUUGUAGAAGCCCAUUCUUGACUGUUAACAAAGAAUUUUACCCCCUUCCCUGCCUUUCUCCCUUCGGCAAAUGAGGAUUUUCUUUCCCAAAUGUAUUCUUUUUAACCUCUCCACGUUGGGUCAUUGAGCACCACAUCCCAGCUCUGCACUUGUCCAUGCUGCCCAUACUCCAGGCAGAGCCACGACCCCCGGGUUGGGUGGGAUGUGUGGGACAGGCACUGCGCCAAGCACGGCCAUCAUACAAAUAAAAAGCAUAAGAUGCUGUACAGCGUCAUUGGAUACCACAACGCUCAGGCUGUGUGAGAGCGGCACGCCAAGUGCCUGGAUGUGACAGCAUCGAGCACUCCCAAAAGCUCCAGGGAAGUUAAACCCUCUGCGCUCACUGCCAGAAUCCCCGCCAGGACUUUCUCCCAGGAAAGCCCAGCUGGCCAUGGGUGGGGAUGCAGCGCCAGGUGCGGGAGCAUGCAGGAACCAGCAGCUCUCUGCUGCUCUGCCCAGCCUCAGUCCCACUCCUCCCGUUCCAUCAGCACACACAGCACUUCUGCUCCCCCCGGAUUUCUCCAUUUCCAUGGGAGGACACGGGUGAAACAAUAGGUGCCACUCAUUUCCCCAGUGGCUUCCUCAUACAGGGCUUAAUUCUCCUGGAAGGGAAGGAACAAUCCCUGUGUGGUGUAUUGAUGCACUUGGGGAUGGUCUGCAGUACGAACUCACACACAUCAUUUUUUCUUUUACAUUUUUGCCCAAUGACUUGCAUGACAAGCCUAAUAAAAGCUGAGACAAAUAACCCAAAACACACAAAAAUGUAAUACUGUUUUAUAUUAACUGCCAAAGCGCUUCAGUGACUGUAGGAAGAAACUGCACUGAAACAUUAGAACCAAAAUCAGCCAAGUAUGGAGGGAAAAAAAAGGAAAGAAAGAAAAAACACAGUUAAAAGUCCUCAACUGGUGUUGAGCUGCAAUGAGCCAACGCAGCGUCGUGGGCAGCACUGUCUGCUCUCAGGCACCUCUGUGCAGCAGUGCUCUGUGCAGCAGUGCUCCUUCACGGCCUGCCUGGAGAGGAGUAAAUGGCCCCCAGGCACCACAUCCCAGCCCCAGCCCUGCUCCAUUUCCUGCUCUCAGCCCCGCUCAGCUCCGGCCCAGCUUGCCAAAAAAUAAAAGACAACGGCAGCCCUCUAUUGCAACGGGUUGUAAACCAGGAUCCCUCUUCUCUCCGUCCUGCAAUGUAUCAGCAGUCUACCUGAGAGACUUGUUGGCUUUUAGGUACCGGUGACCCCAUGGCAAUUGAAAACAGGCAGUGAAGGCUCAGAAGUGUGAUCUAUACCCCAGGGUCACAUUAACAGCGCUGCAUGGAAAUGGAAACAGUUCUAGAAGCUGAUAGCACACUGAGAACACCCGACUCCAGCUCCGAUUGUGCCAAGCAGCUGUGAGAAAGCAAUACCAGCAGAAAGGGAAGAAUGUUUCCCUGUAUUUUCCUAGGCUCUGUGCCACCACGCCAGCCUGGCAGGGCAGGGCAGCCCUCAACGCUGCACUCGCUCAGCAGGCACAGGAUGCAGCGCUGUGCUGCUGGCAGAGUGGGGUCGGCUCCAGCAGCACCCAGCCCAGAUGUGAUCCCACAGCACCCAGCCCAGAUGUGAUCCCACAGCACCCAGCCCAGAUGUGAUCCCACAGCACCCAGCCCAGCAGCCGUGAGGAACCACUUCCUCAGCCCCAUAGCAAUGCACGAAGGAAUUUCCACAUAUCCCAAGACUUCCACUUCUAAACUUGGAGAAAGAAAUACCAGGACAUUCCUUUGUUGUUCCAGCUCGCUGCCUGUUUGAUCUGUUGGGUUUUUUUUUCUCUCCAGCUGAGUCAAUUAAAGAAUCCCAAUUUCCCCUGGAAAAAAAA